GAAUUUUUCAAAAGCAUUAGUGGUGGGUGGGCCCGAGUUUAUUAAAUUAUGCUUUGUAAGAGAACCCUCUUUAUGAGUAGCAGAUAAGUUCGAGUACUGUUCACCUUGUUCAAUUUUUUUACUCCCACUUGCAGAGGGAAGGUCACUACCUGUCAGUCAUCCGUGGGCACCGGUGAAGGUUUCUGAGAGUUGGUGGAGCUUUCAGUCGGUUGGCUACUGGAGGUGGAGUAACUGCAUUUGUGGAUGGUAUGACCAAUUCUCCCGUAACUAGUGCACAAAAUGUCUUCCCCUUCAUACACUACUUUUUUAUGUGUGAUAAACUAUUACGAUUGUGUUUUGACCGGCACCUCUAGAGGUACCUGAAUGCAAAUCCUUGCAUAACGGCCUCUUAGAGUUGCUGAUGUACAUGAGUCAAUCCUUAGCAGUACCCCCAAUUUUUUCCCGAUCUUUUCUAGGAUUAUUUAAUCAUAAAAUUCAGUGGAAAGUUGGGGUAGUCUCACCCAGAUAGCCGUGUGGGUCAAUUGAGCUUCUUCCGGGACAAAAUUGGGUUCCCAUUUUUCGACGGAGAGAAAGCUUCUUGUAACGAACCAAGGGCCUUCAUGGAGCACCUUCUGCAUAUUUUCAUGUUGGGUGAGCUUUGUAACAAAGUAGACUUUACCCAGGUCAAUUAAUGAGAAGGGCUCUGUUGGCUUCCAAAGAUCAAUCAAUUGGGCUAACGAUUUUCCAUACAGUUUAAGGAUGAUCGACGAUAGCCAUGGUUGGUAGAUCCGUUGUCUGCCUUCCAAAGUAAGGUGGACCGCUUCAGGAUUCAAAUCGGUGUUGCAGAGCAUCGCGUUAUUUUGCUCUUCAUAAAUGGUGUUUAGAUUUGGAUGCUUAUUCAAUAGGACGUCUUUGAAAGAUUGUUCCCCGGAUAGGUAAGAGGGUUAGAGUCUUCGUCUAUCAAGGUGGUGUUGUCCGGAGGUUUUGGUGGUUCCGGUGGAAUCCGGGGGGUACUUCUGUGUUGAGUGUUGGGAGCAUUUUUUAGGAGAGAGAAGUAACGGAUGCCACAGAAAGGAAAGUUUCAUAAAGUUUGUAUUGAUAAUAUAAGUGUGUUAUUU
Long non-coding RNA from Capsicum annuum, 1097 nucleotides. RefSeq lists it as uncharacterized. NCBI's taxonomy places the organism in Eukaryota, Viridiplantae, Streptophyta, Magnoliopsida, Solanales, Solanaceae. The transcript is spliced from 2 exons. The record is from RefSeq and is a predicted model, not a curated record.